GUACAAUGGUCACCUGAGGUAGCAUGACAAUGCACAAUAGUAAAAUGGUUCCCUGAGGUAACCUGACCAUACACAGUAGUAAUGUGGUUCCCUGAGGUAACAUGACCAUGUACAGUAGUAGAAGUAAAAACACAAAAAUUCUAAACUCCAAGGAAAAUUCAAAAAGGAAAAUCAAAAAUCAAAAGGCAAAAUCAAAAGUCCAAACACA
RNAcentral lists this long non-coding RNA (208 nucleotides) under Mytilus galloprovincialis (Mediterranean mussel). The record is from RNAcentral. Lineage: Eukaryota; Metazoa; Mollusca; Bivalvia; Mytilida; Mytilidae.